Molecule: ribosomal RNA, 430 nt
Filed under: uncultured bacterium
Lineage: Bacteria
Description: bacterial SSU rRNA
Rfam family: Bacterial small subunit ribosomal RNA
Source: RNAcentral
UCGAGAGGCUUCCACAAUGGGGGAAACCCUGAUGGAGCGACGCCGCGUGGGUGAUGAAGGUCUUCGGAUCGUAAAGCCCUUUCAGCAAGGAAGAAAGGACGGGCGAUAAUACCGCCAUGUCCUGGACGGUACUUGCAGAAGAAGCUCCGGCUAACUCCGUGCCAGCAGCCGCGGUAAGACGGAGGGAGCAAGCGUUGUUCGGAUUUACUGGGCGUAAAGGGCGUCUAGGCGGAUUGGUCAGUCAGGUGUGAAACCCUUCGGCUCAACCGGAGAUCUGCACUUGAUACUGCCAAUCUUGAGUAUGGAAGAGGAAAGCGGAAUUCCAGGUGUAGCGGUGAAAUGCGUAGAUAUCUGGAAGAACACCGGUGGCGAAGGCGGCUUUCUGGUCCAAUACUGACGCUAAAGCGCGAAAGUGUGGGGAGCAAACAGG